GGGGUGACUCAGGGGGCGCUGACUCAGGGGCCGCCGCCCGCCCCGGCCGGGCGCGAGGUCACCUGUGCUCUGCUGGGUCGGGGGCUGCGAACCGCAACCGAAAGAAACCUGGGAAGAGCGGGAUUCUUCGCCCGGCCGCGCUGGGCCCAUGCAGCUCCGGCCCUGGGCGGGGGCUCCGGGGACCCUGCGGGCAUCUCGGGAAUGGCCCAGGACCCGGUUCCGCGGACCCGGGUGCGUCCACCUGCUGGGCGGCUUUUGCAGCAGCCAGGGCAGCCUGGGCCUUGGCUGGGAGUGGGAACCUGGCCGGUCCUCACCGCUUUCCAGUGACCAGGCUCUGCGUUUCCUCCCAGGGCUCCCAAAGCUCUGAGACAUUGCCACAACACCGAAGCCCGGCUGUGAAACAACCCUGACUCUACCGCAGGCUCCGGGUCCCUCGGCGGAAAGGCCGCCUUCAUAGCCACAGAAAAAGUUGUAAGGUCCAGGCGCGGAGCCCAGCCGGCGAUCGCAAAUGGAACGGUUGGCUGGGGCGCAGCGCAUGGAAAUGCCAGUUGGGACCCGCGGCUCUGCCAACAGCGGCGGAUCCGACUGAGAAGCUCGAACUGGUCCAGCACUCAGGAGGCUGAGACAGGAGGAUUGCCAUGUGUUUGAGGCCAGCCUGGGCUACAUAGCAAGACCUUGUCUAAAGAAAACAGAAAACAACAACAACACACAACAGAAACCCCAAAAGUGAUGGUGCUGAAUCUUCUUGGAGAGAGGAUCUCAUAGGCACUGGACAGAACCCGUGGAGUCCGGACAGGUCCACACUCCAGGGAGCGGACGCUCACAACCCCUGAACUCUUGUGUCUCUUAGAACCCAGUACCGUGAGGGUGCACAGCGGGCCCCAACACGCCAUCGAAUGGUUGUGGCCGCAAACUGGUAAGGCCGUUGUCACACCGCAGUGUCAAACCCUGCAACGCACGGAAGGUGCUCACUGCGUUCAGCAAACCCCACAAAGGUCUGCAUGGCAGGGAUUUGGUCGGCUUUUGCUGGCUGGGAGGACAACUCAGGGCCUGUACACAGCGGCCACCCCUAAUGUGUCGCAACCCGCGCUGGCUGCAGGCCCACCAGGCCUGGCGGUGUCCCGUUGCCAGCUGCUGGGGGGCGCUCUUCCUGCGCUCUUGAACAUCCCAUGCCUGAGGAAGGGCAGCCAUGGCUCUGAGAGAACAGUGGAAGGAUGGCGCCCGUUAGGCGCUCAUACUAGCAGGCCUGUUAGACUCUCUCGGAUUUCUCAUUGCACUUUGAAAACAGAACCCACGAAUCAUGCACGGCCCAUGCCAACAGGGAGCUGCGGAGCAGCCACCCUGAACCCUGGCUCCAGCUGCCUCUGACAGUGGCUCGCGGGCACGGACUCCGCAGCAAGCUCCUACCUUGGAAAACCGCAAUCAGCCCACCGAUCAAUAAAAACCUUCAAGUGGAUUAGGUCAAAAGAGCAAUAAAUCCUCUGCUUUCAGCAAAUAUUACUGAUCCCAGCCAUGCCUGCCCUGGAAGGAGUGGGGUAGACAAGGAGGCCGUGGACAGAUGGUGUCAGAAAACCGAGGAUCUGAACAAACCGCUCCCGAGGCACCGGAUGUCCCAAGCCUGCGGGACAUUCCUGGCCACCUUCCGUCCUAAGGCAGAAAACCUGGAUGCAUUCUGACCCUUUGUGCCUCACUUCUGAGGAAAAUAACCUUUCUGUCCUCUGUCUCCUUUGCUUAAUCCUAAGAAUAAUGGGAAAAGGAUAAAAACCCACACCAGCCUAGAAGUGUGGUCACCAGGCGAGAUGACCACAGCCUGGUGGCCAGGCACACUGGGCCCGCAGAGCUGAGUGGAUAAAGGUUAGGACAGGGCAGUAGGGCAGGGACACGUCCAGGGGGAGGGGCAUUCCCAGUACAGUGAAUGACACUAUCACCCAGUGCACAGAGCCAAUCAGAUGCUGUUUUGGACCAAUCAGAAUCUUGCUAUUUUCAAUCCCUCAUUUGAAUCUGCUGCUGUUCACAGGACCAGUCAGAAGAUGCUCUUCGCAAUCCUUCAUUUGCAUGUGGGCACAGCCAAUCAAGACUCUGCUCCUGAUCCUUCAUUUACAUAAGGCAAAAACCAGAGGCAUUUUGGGAUAGGACAGUUCAUUCCCAGGGAGUGUUUGAUAGGACGACUAUUCUAAUGCCUUCUUUACAUGAAGAGAGAGAGAUAAUGCAGGAAUUCCAGAUGCAAAAGACCUUUCCCCCUCCCGAAGGCUGCUGUGAGUGUAUUUUUCUGCCUUCAAUAAAUGUACACUCUUGCUGCCUUUUCUGAGUGUCUUGUUCAGGUCACCAAGAACCUGGAAAGAAGCCCCACGGGACCCUCCAUCCACUAACAUUUCGGACAGGAACUCCCAGGUGCUGGUCACCUCUGGAGGGUGGACUUGGUUUGAUAGCACCCACUCAGCGCUCGCCUCCCCCGGCCAGGCUGGGCCCUGGAGGCCAGGCAUCGCACCUGGGUGGGACAGUUGGCUGUGAAACUGAAGUGAGCAGGACCAUCUUCGCUGGCCUGGGGCUGUGAUACCCUUCACUGCUACUGACCCCCUCUGGGCCCACAUUAAAGUCCACCGUUCUGAGCUGGACAGCGGGAAUGAGCCCCUGUGCUGCAGAAGGGCCUGAGGGUCAGAGCUCAGGAGAUCCCAUUGCUUUCUUCCAUGUUUUGUUUCAGAAUGAACGUGCUCUUUGUGGUUGUUUCAUGAGGUUCAAGAAACUCCACAACCCAUUUGGCCACCCACUGAUCUUUUAGGGAAAGACCCCCCUAGAAGGAUUGGUCCAAGGGUUUAUUAAUUUGGAAGGAAGGCUAAUAAAGCGGAAAAGGAUUAUUUUGCUCCAGCCCAGCACUGUUUUAUUUAGAGCUGUACAGAGAGUGUUUCUGAUGCUGUGAUUUGUGCUGGCACUUUGCUUGGUGUCACAGCUAAAGUAGAUCAGGGCAUUGCUAUAGUGGAAAAACUCUUUAACUUCUCUAUUUUAUUAAGUCUUACAUUAUGUGAUGAUUCUUUAAACAUCCCCAAAAGUUUUGAGGUCCUUAAAAACAAACACUGGGAACAGUAAGGUGGCUUUAAUCAAGACAAGAAACUAGAGAGUAAAAUGGUAACUAAACAUUAACUUUGCAUAUUGCUGUAGUUUGGAUGUUAAAUAUCCCCCAAAGCCCAAGUGUUGAAGGCUCAGUCCCCAGCCUGCAGUGCAAUUGAGAAGUGGUGAGACCUUUAAGGGCAGGGCCUAGUGAAAGGGAGUUAGGUCAUUGGGGUAUGGCCUUGAAGGGACCUGAGCUCCGCCCCUUCCUGCUCCUUUCUGUCUGCUUCCUAGCUGCCAUGAUGUGAGCAGCUUUGCGCUUCCCCACACUCCUGUCAGGAGGAGCCACUUCACCCUAGGCCCCGAAUCCAGGGCCCCACUGCCUGUGUACUGAAACUUGUGACAGUGGGAGCUCCAAUUCUCCUUUAAGCUUGAUUGUCACAGGUGUUUGUUGCAGUGAGAGAAAGCUGACCUACCCUAGAUAUUGAUUUUGCAUGGAUUAAUCACAUCAGAUGAAAUGCAGAAUUCUGAUAGGAACUUGAGAAAGGGUGAGCAUGAAGGCCAUGUCUAGAAGUUGGCCUGGUUUGGAGUCUGACAGCUGAGACUUUGGUUUUAAGUGUCCCAGUGAGAGGCCUUCUCUCUGCCUGCUGGCACCUGCUGCUCUUACUCGACCCCUGCAUGGGGCACAGGGCAGCUCAAGGAGGACAGUCACUUUGGUGGCUCCUUGGAUUCGGCUGAGGAACAAGCUCACCCCUCAGCCACCAUGAAGCCGGCACUGAGGGGUCUUAUUUGCCAAAAGAGGCCUCGUUAGUAAGUGGUUUUGGUUGUGUUUUUAAGCUCUAUUUGCCAACUAUAGGGAUUAACUUUAAUUAGUUUUACAAAACUUAAAGGGUUUUAAAAACUUUUCAAAUAACUUGAGGAAAAUAAUAUACUGUUACUUCUCAUGGGAUUAAUUUCCUGAAAGGCUCCCUGCUUGGGCUUAGACAUAGAUUUUCUGCUCCCCACGCUUCUCCGCCCUCCAGACCUCUCAAGGUCAUUUCCACAGAAAUGCUUGGUUAAUUAGGGGUUCUAGUGACUGAGGAGAUACGAAUACAAAACUUGGUUGAAAAUGAGGAAGUUGUGUUGUAUGCCUGUAUCAGUUUUGCCAAAAUGGAUAUCACUAUUCUGUAAUACGAACAUGCACUUAAAAAAAAUAAAGAAUGGAGGCCCGGGGAUUUAGCUCAGUGGUUCCAGCACCUGCCUUGCAAACACAAGGUCCCGAGUUCGAUCCCUGGUACCAAAAAAAAAAAAGAAUGGAGAAGUUAGGUGUGGUGGCACACCUGUAAUUCCAGCACUGGGGAGGCUGAGGCAGCAGGGUCCCUGUGAGUUUGAGGCCAGGCUGGGUUCAAGACCAGUGAGUCCAAGACGAGCUUGGAAUACAUAGCAAGACUUUCUCUCAAAAAACCAAACAAAACCAAAAACAAAAACAAAACCAACAGCAAAACAAAAUGAACUCCAUCAGAAAAACGCAAUCAGAAAUAGACUCAAUCAAACAAAACUCAGAAAUUUCUUUUCUUUCUUCUCUUCCUCUCCCCCCCCCUUUUCCCUCCUCCCAUUUCUCCUUCUUUGAGACAGAUUCUCACUGUGUAGUUCAGGCUGGCCUUGAACUCACUAUGUAUACCAGGCUGGGCUCAGACUCACAGCAGUCCUCCUGCCUCAGCCUCCCAAGUGAUGAGAUUAUCCACCACAACCACCCCUGGCAUUAAUUUUUAAAAAAUACAUAAUUUGGAAUUUACUACUACUUUUUUGGCUUAAAGAAGAGUUUAUUUAUUGGUGACUAUAACCUACAUCUAUAUCCUGCCGAAAAAGUUUACACACUUCAGCAGUUUGUGGUACUAAUAAACGCCUGGAAGCUCAGGCCCACCACUGAGUACCUUGUGUGAUUGUAGAGGCCGAAGGUAACUUGCGUUAAUCUCAUGAUGUCUUGAUAAAUUCAGUAUUAAAAUAUUUGUAGAAGUUUUUCUUUUUCUGGUGCACACUUUUUCUGGCAGACUACGUAUGAUGAUGCACAUGUAUCUGUGAUUACCGUACAUAUAUAUGUGAAUACUCAGCUGAGGGUUUUAGCUUUAUUUUCCUGAACACUGUUGGGGAAAUUGAGACUGUGAGAGAUUCUUACUUGAAGAGCCUGUUUUGUGCUCUUGGCUCUUAACUACCCCUUGGCACUGCUGUAUUUAAUUCAUUUAACCUUCAAGGCCCCAGGGUCACCUGGCCUCGACCAAGUUCUACUGUUUCUGCCUGAAGGAAAGGAAGAGGGAGGGAGGAUCUCAUUUUGAGACCCGGAAGUUUGAUACUUGGCUUCCAAGUUGCGUUUGGUGCCUAGAUAUCCACCAGCAAGCGCUUAACGCGACACACGGGACCGCCCGGGCCAUUUGUAGACUGCGUGCUAGUUGCUGUCACUCACGUCCCACGGUCGGAUGGCGACAGCAGCACCCAUCUGCCCUGCGGUCUCCUGCUGUGUGCAAACAAGGCCGGGUGCCCUUGCGGUGGGGCCUGCUCUCUCAAGCUGUGUCCCCUCCAGAGGAGCCAGGGAGCCACAGAUGUGAAACAGCAGCCCCAGGCAGAGCCGUGGCAUCCGAUGUGUCCCGGACGGGGUCCUCACCCGAGGAGGAGCCGCAUGGAGAGGGCCCAACUCGGGAACGAAAGCACUGGAGUGGCGGUGGCCCCUUCCUCCGCUGUGGGCCGUGAACUGCAGGCUUCCAGGCCGCGCGAGACAGAGGCCCGCUUUCAUCUGCUGAACACGCUGCGCCCACUCCGCUGCGGGCUCUGAGCUCCGGAGUGCAGGGUGCACGGGGCUGGGUGGGGGUGGCUUCGCUGCAGGAAGCUCAGCUGUGGGACCAGAGCACGAGACCACAGGGGCCCGGAAGACAGGAACAGGUCAUGGCUGCUGUUAGGACGGAAUAAAUUGUCCAGAGAGUGACUGUGGGGUUACUGUCAAAAAUUAUGAUGAAAGUUGAAUCCCAAAGGGCAUAACAUCAAGUUACAACAACCCAUUCCAUAUUUCCUACUAUCAAUUUAUACUUUAGCAUAAUAAUCAAUUUGUAGCUGGCUAUGCAUCUCAGUAGCUGCACCUAGAGGAUAUAGGAGGCAAUUUUUGGUUUGCCCACUUGGUACAAAGAAUGGCAAGGUGUGUACACAUGUACAAAAGUGUCAAACUGGGAUUUAUCCACGCAAUGCUCUGGGCUAACAGGUUUUGCAUAUGUUUACCUGAGCAUCACAGGAGUAAAAUACACCCACACCACUCUUCUGACAUGGAAACAUAUAUUUUAUCAUAACGGAAUAUGGGUGUGACUCAUAGUAGCUGCACCUGGAGAAAGCAAAAACCCACCUGUGCUUCCACCCACUUGGCAGAUGAAUGGUAAGGUGUGUACAGGAGCUCCAAAGCAGCAACAGAAGUACCCGAGUUUAAUGCAAUGGCACAUGAAAAACCAGAUUUACAAGUUUUAGAAGAGCUCAAAAGUGAAUCAUGAAAUUAUUCAUGCAUGGAUGAUGGAGAUGAGACUUUGACAUUGCCCAUGUGAGCUUAAGUUCCUGUGACAGUGAAAUGGAGCAAGAAUCAAGUGAUACACAGAGAAUGCAGACCUCCUGGAUUCAGAUGAGAAGGAAAACAGCAAUGUGAGUGCUUAUUUGACUGGUUGAAAUGUUGCAAAAUGGUUGUGCAACCAAUGGAACAAUUCAGUGUUAGAACUAGGUCUGAAAAUAUAGUGAGGAUCUUGGCUGGGGUGAAAUUUAUUGGACAGAAUGCCAGCACUGCCAUUCAAUGUUGGAAAUUGUAACAGAAGAAAUGCUACAAGAUGUUGUGAAAUACACAAAGGCUGAAGUAUGAGUAAAAUGUUCUGUAUACAUAAAUAGCCACAUUAAAAAAUGUAUUUAUUAUGACAUUGACAGAGUUCUCUACCAGACAAAAUGGCCCCAAAGGUCCUACAUUCUAAAAUGGCUCCUGUUCCUAAAAUGGUUCCCGAUUACAGAAAUGAGCCACUUUGGAAAAGUGAAACCUGCCCCCUCUGGAGAAGCAAAAGCUAACUUGUCUCUCCACCCUGCUACCCACGUGAUCCUCCCCUUCCAGUCACCUGCUCAACUCUUAGGAUACUCUCCCCACUGCACACACCCCCAUAUAAGCCUCACCCCAGUUAGUUUUGCUCUUUCUCGCCAUUGUUUGAGGCAGCUGGGCAGCUCCCUCCCCAAAAAGCCCUGCCUUGGGUGCUCCUGUUUCAGCUUGUUAUCUUGCAGACACCUCACUAACUGAACUAAAAGUAUUCAUAGGUCUGCUGUACUCAGCAGGGAUUUCUCAUGGCAAUCACAGGAAUGCAAAAGACUUAUGGAAAAGCGAUUGGUCAAAAUAUGGCAUAAACUGGUGCCUAUCAAGGGCCUUUAGAUAGACCCUCUGGAGAGUAACUCUAACUG
Molecule: long non-coding RNA, 7485 nt
Organism: Heterocephalus glaber (naked mole-rat)
Lineage: Eukaryota; Metazoa; Chordata; Mammalia; Rodentia; Bathyergidae
Source: RefSeq, a predicted model, not a curated record